This 342-nucleotide unclassified non-coding RNA is filed under the name soil metagenome. Its description in RNAcentral is "partial contains 5.8S ribosomal RNA, internal transcribed spacer 2, and large subunit ribosomal RNA". The stretch from base 1 to 120 matches the Rfam family "5.8S ribosomal RNA", at positions 35 to 154 of the family's 154-position model. The record is from RNAcentral.
GAUGAAGAACGUAGCGAAACGCGAUAAGUAAUGUGAAUUGCAGAAUCCAGUGAAUCAUCGAAUCUUUGAACGCACAUUGCGCCCGCCAGCAUUCUGGCGGGCAUGCCUGUUCGAGCGUCAUUUCAACCCUCGACCUCCCCUUGGGGAGGUCGGCGUUGGGGACCGGCAGCACACCGCCGGCCCUGAAAUGGAGUGGCGGCCCGUCCGCGGCGACCUCUGCGCAGUAAUACAGCUCGCACCGGGACCCCGACGCGGCCACGCCGUAAAACACCCAACUUCUGAACGUUGACCUCGAAUCAGGUAGGACUACCCGCUGAACUUAAGCAUAUCAAUAAGCGGGGA